This 282-nucleotide long non-coding RNA is filed under the name Elaeis guineensis (African oil palm). Its description in RNAcentral is "long non-coding RNA (EGUI_LNC004109)". Lineage: Eukaryota; Viridiplantae; Streptophyta; Magnoliopsida; Arecales; Arecaceae. The record is from RNAcentral.
GGAUCUCCACUCCACCUCGAUCUCAGUUGGAUAUAUUCUCGAUGUUGAUCGAGGAACUGACAGAAGGUCGAUGGUGGGCAACCAUUUAGGCCUCAUCCCUGGCCGAGGUAUCCCGAAGUCCUCUUAGGUCAGCCAAAGCCGACUUACGUUCUUGACAUAGCAGGCUCCAUUGACAGAAGUCGCCCCAUUUCUAGUUUCUCGGCUUGAUCGAAGUACGCUUAGCUCGACCAAAAUCGAUCUACACCUAUUGCACAUAGCAGGUUCCAUUGACAGAGUCCAUCC